CAUCAUGAUACAAUUAAAUACGGUGAUGUUAUCAUUUCUAUUCGUGCCAUUUUUGAUUCCAGAGUCAUCAUCUCGUGCUAAACGUCUAAGCCUCUAAGGUGAAUUGGUAGUAUCCAUACAUUGUAGAAAUUUAUAUGACUAACGAUCAUUGGGGCUUGCUUAUCCUUUUUACCUAGUUUUGAUUCAACAUGGUUUGGCAACUUCCCCGUGCAUAAUUGUAUCUCAAGAUAUUUAUUUAGUGUUACACAAUAUUAAUGGUC
This 260-nucleotide long non-coding RNA is filed under the name Elaeis guineensis (African oil palm). RNAcentral's name for it is "long non-coding RNA (EGUI_LNC010983)". Lineage: Eukaryota; Viridiplantae; Streptophyta; Magnoliopsida; Arecales; Arecaceae. The record is from RNAcentral.